This 342-nucleotide ribosomal RNA is filed under the name uncultured bacterium. RNAcentral describes it as "bacterial SSU rRNA". It matches the Rfam family "Bacterial small subunit ribosomal RNA", at positions 28 to 329 of the family's 1533-position model. The record is from RNAcentral.
GAUGAACGCUGGCGGCGUGCCUAAUACAUGCAAGUCGAACGCAUUGUGGUUGAACUGAUAUGAAGAACUUGUUCAGAUUUGAUUUUCAACAUUGCAAUGAGUGGCGAACGGGUGAGUAACACGUGGGAAACCUACCUCUUAGCAGGGGAUAACAUUUGGAAACAAAUGCUAAUACCGUAUAAUAAUUAAAACCGCAUGGUUUUAGUUUAAAAGAAUGGUCUUGCUAUCACUAAGAGAUGGUCCCGCGGUGUAUUAGUUAGUUGGUGAGGUAAUGGCUCACCAAGACAAUGAUACAUAGCCGAGUUGAGAGACUGACCGGCCACAAUGGGACGUGAGACACGG